AAAGUCUCAUUUCUCUUCAAAAUGAAUAAAUCUUUUGCCUUUUCCUAAAGAUUUCCAUGGAGAGGAACAGUUAUGUGUUGGUAACCCAAUUUUUUGAGAUCUUGUUCAGGGAGGCU
This 116-nucleotide small nuclear RNA is filed under the name Propithecus coquereli (Coquerel's sifaka). RNAcentral describes it as "U5 spliceosomal RNA (ENSPCOG00000004465.1)". It matches the Rfam family "U5 spliceosomal RNA". Rfam says of the family: U5 RNA is a component of both types of known spliceosome. The precise function of this molecule is unknown, though it is known that the 5' loop is required for splice site selection and p220 binding, and that both the 3' stem-loop and the Sm site are important for Sm protein binding and cap methylation. Lineage: Eukaryota; Metazoa; Chordata; Mammalia; Primates; Indriidae. The record is from Rfam by way of RNAcentral.